CCAGAUGCCUUUCACACAAUUGUUAGAAAACCCCGUCAGAGGAGGAAUCCAGCAGCGGUAUCUUUCGUAUUGUGGUGCUUAGGAUUAUCUGGGCUCU
This 97-nucleotide signal recognition particle RNA is filed under the name Treponema sp. RNAcentral's name for it is "signal recognition particle sRNA small type". It matches the Rfam family "Bacterial small signal recognition particle RNA". Rfam says of the family: The signal recognition particle (SRP) is a universally conserved ribonucleoprotein involved in the co-translational targeting of proteins to membranes. Archaeal SRP consists of a 7S RNA and homologues of the eukaryotic SRP19 and SRP54 proteins. The record is from RNAcentral. Lineage: Bacteria; Pseudomonadati; Spirochaetota; Spirochaetia; Treponematales; Treponemataceae.